CCAUUCUGCUCUACGGGUGAGAG
RNAcentral lists this non-coding RNA (23 nucleotides) under Rattus norvegicus (Norway rat). Lineage: Eukaryota; Metazoa; Chordata; Mammalia; Rodentia; Muridae. The record is from RNAcentral.